Raphanus sativus (radish) is the source of this 782-nucleotide long non-coding RNA. RefSeq lists it as uncharacterized. NCBI's taxonomy places the organism in Eukaryota, Viridiplantae, Streptophyta, Magnoliopsida, Brassicales, Brassicaceae. The record is from RefSeq and is a predicted model, not a curated record. The transcript is spliced from 4 exons.
GUAUGGGUAACCCAAAACUAGAGAUUGUGAUGGCUAAUAAAGGAGAGCUUCUGAUCAGCGUGAUCAUUCCGGCGAAGAUAAACACGAUUUUACGCCCAAACCUUCCUCGCCUUCUUCUUCUUCUUCUUCUUCUUCUUCUUCCUAACAUGAGUGUGGUUCUUUCUGCGAUUUAGGGCUCAACUGCAAAACUGUUCAGAAGUUUUUACAAGUUGAUCAGAAGCUUGGCAUCAAAGAAGUUCAUGACUGAAUUGUAGGUACUACUCAAUGUACGGAUAUUUGGAGAAACUAUUACAAGAGAUUAGGAAAGUGUUGCAUCUGUUGAUGGUGGUCGAUGCCAAACUCUGGCAGUUGUCAGGUACUAGAGACGCUCCAAAAAGAUGUGCUCUCUAAAUGAGUGGACUGCCAAAGAGUGAUGCUCCUCUUAUCACCCCCGACGACCUUGGUAAGGCUGAUGGCUUUGUCUUUUGCUUCCCAACAAGGUUUGGUAUAUGAUGGCUGCUCAUUUCAAGGUAUUCUUAGACAAAAUUGGUGGCCUCUGGAGGACUUUACAACUUGCAGUUAAGCCAGCCGUAAACUUCUGCAGCACCGGGGCUCAAGGUGGUGGUCAAGAAACCUCAUCAACACUUGCUUCGGUUUUUACGUUUUGGAGUGCUUACUUGUGUUGUCAUUGAUUUCUAACACUUUUUUGUAAUAUUUGUAAUCAGGAUUCAUAAACUAUCGAACCAAUUCUAUUUUUAUAGAUCUUGAUCUCAUGCAAGUUAAGCAAACACAAGAAUAUUUUC